AGGGAGUUUAGGCAAUAUGCUCCAGAUAGGUUAGAAAUAAGAAUUAGGCAAUUGUAAGCAGGGAAACCUAUAAAUGGAAUUAUAGGUAAUAUUGAGAGAGAACCUAUAAAUCAAACUAUAGGUAAAAAAGAAAGGAUAACAGAAAUAGUGGUUUAAGCAAUAUGCCUCAGAGAGGUUAUAUACAGACAGAUUAUUUACAGAUAUUAGACGAUAGUAAGAAAUCCUAUAUAUGAAAGUAGAGGAUAGAGAAGUAAAACGGAACUAAACAGUAAAGUGUCAGAAUAGCAAACAAAAUAGUAAUUUAGUGAAUCAGUCCCCUGUUUGGAUGGAGCAGUGAAAAGAUAGGCAAAUAACUGUUUGCAAUAUUGGUUAUUUGUGUAAUACAGG
This is a non-coding RNA of Pelobates cultripes (western spadefoot toad), 387 nucleotides long. NCBI's taxonomy places the organism in Eukaryota, Metazoa, Chordata, Amphibia, Anura, Pelobatidae. The record is from the annotation of a GenBank genome assembly.